AGCUGUCAUACGGUGAAACUGCGAAUGGCUCAUUAAAACAGUUAUAGUUUACUUGAGGAUUGAGGCUUACAUGGAUAACCGUGGCAACUCUAGAGCUAAUACAUGCAAAUGGGACUUCUGUUCCGUAUUUAUUAGAUAUAUCCGCCUUAUGGUUGGUGAGUCAUAGUAACUUAACGAAUCGCGUAUUGCGAUGCAUCAUUUAAGUUUCUGCCCUAUCAGCUUACGAUGGUAGCGUAUUGGACUACCAUGGCAGUUACGGGUAACGAGGAAUUAGGGUUCGAUUUCGGAGAGGGAGCCUGAGAAACGGCUACCACAUCUAAGGAAGGCAGCAGGCGCGCAAAUUACCCAAUGCUGACACGGCGAGGUAGUGACAAGAAAUAACAACGCGAGGCUAUGUCUUGCGAUUGGAAUGAACGCAAUUUAAACUCAUCAGUGAGGAGCAACUGGAGGGCAAGUCUGGUGCCAGCAGCCGCGGUAAUACCAGCUCCAGUAGCGUAUAUUAAAGUUGUUGCAGUUGAAACGCUCGUAGUCGGACUUCUUUUCCACCCUUGUGGAAAAUCUGCUGAUCAUCUUGCUGAUCAUCACGAUCGGUAAGUCAAUGACAGCAUGUCACCUUGAGGAAAUUAAAGUGUUCAAGGCAGGCUUAGCCUGAAUACUGUAGCAUGGAAUGGCACCAUUGUGCAAACAAGAGGUGCGGGUGCUCUUGUGAGGCAAAGGUCGAUAGGGGCAGUCGUGGGCAUUGGUACUGGGGCGUGAGAGGUGAAAUUCUUGGAUCGUCUCAAGACCAACGAAAGCGAAAGCAUCCGCCAAGGAUGUCUUCAUUGAUCAAGAACGAAGGUCAGGGUAUCGAAUACGAUCAGAUACCGUAGUAGUCCUGACUGUAAACUAUGCCGACUGGGGAUUCGUGGCGCAGCUUAUGACACCACGGGCACCCUGCGAGAAAUCAAAGUCUUUGGGUUCUGGGGGAAGUAUGGUCGCAAGGCUGAAACUUGAAGGAAUUGACGGAAGGGCACCACCAGGCGUGGAGCUUGCGGCUUAAUUUGACUCAACACGGGGAAACUUACCAGGUCCAGACAUGGCGAGGAUUGACAGACUGAACGCUCUCUCUCGAUUCUAUGGUUGGUGGUGCAUGGCCGUUCUUAGUUGGUGGAGUGAUCUGUCUGGUUGAUUCCGGUAACGAACGAGACCUCGGCCUGCUAACUAGUGCUAUUACUGAGGUGGUAGUGACUUCUUAGAGGGACUCCAACGGCUACGUUGUGGAAGUUCGAGGCAAUAACAGGUCUGUGAUGCCCUUAGAUGUCCUGGGCCGCACGCGUGCUACACUGACACAGGCAACGAGGUCCGUAGUCGAGAGACCCAGGAAAUCUCUAAUCUGUGUCGUGAUGGGGACAGUCCCUUGCAAUUGUGGGACUCCAACGAGGAAUGCCUAGUAAGUGCAUGUCAUCAGCAUGCACUGAUUACGUCCCUGCCCUUUGUACACACCGCCCGUCGCUCCUACCGAUUUCGAGUGGUCCGGUGAAUCUUUCGGACUGCGCGCGGCUUCGUGCCGUGUCGCGGAAAGUCAGGUAAACCUUAUCACUAGAGGA
Molecule: ribosomal RNA, 1586 nt
Filed under: uncultured eukaryote
Lineage: Eukaryota
Description: SSU rRNA
Rfam family: Eukaryotic small subunit ribosomal RNA
Source: RNAcentral